CGACGAGCUGGUCCGCACGGUGAGGACGGACUCCCCGCUGGGGAUCCGGGUGAAUCCGCAGACCGGGGCCGGUUCGAUCCAGGCGCUGUCGAC
This 93-nucleotide transfer RNA is filed under the name Streptomyces sp. Y2F8-2. RNAcentral describes it as "tRNA-Ala". Lineage: Bacteria; Bacillati; Actinomycetota; Actinomycetes; Kitasatosporales; Streptomycetaceae. The record is from RNAcentral.